CACUUUAUGCACUUUUACUUUACACACUUAUAAUUUAGGAACUUUCACUUUACAAACUUAUACUUUACAAACAUUGAAUUUACGAACUUUAAAUUUACGAACAUUUACUUUACAAGCUUUCACUUUACGAACUACUUUAGGAACUUUCACUUUAAGAACUUUUACUUUACGAACUUUUACUUUACAAACUUUCGCGAAUACGAACAGGUGAAAUUUGAAAAGUUUUUAUAAUUAAUUUUGUUUUAUUACUGAAUAUAAAAUAUAUUUUAUAUAGAGUAUUUCUCUUAGUUUUAGUAUGUGGUUGUUUAUUUGAUACACUGUAAAAUCAAAUAGUAUACUUCACUAGAAAAAUUCUAUUAUGUUUACUUAAAUCUGACUAAAAUAUUGAGUUUACUAAAAAUAGUUAAUUAUUAGUAAAAUUUUAAAAUAAAUAUUUGAGAUUACUAAUAAAAAUUAAGUAAUAUUACUCGAAAUGUUUGAGACAUUUUAUUGGGCAUGCACAAUGAAGCACAACUCCCCUCCCCCACACUUUGCUGAAGCUCGUGGACUGAAGACGGUUUGAGCAUCUACCGAUUAAGGUAAUUAAUUAAGGCAUAUUUUUGUUUCCUUGUUUAUUAGUUAUAAUCAUGAUGUUCACUUGAAUUAAUAUUACUUUGCAGAACAUGUUAGAACCUUUUAAACUUAUCUUUAAAUAAACAUCUUUUGGACCGUUUGUAGCUUUGAACACCUCGUGUUGGAAACCAACAUCUAAAAUGUUAUUUUGCACUUUAGAUCUGUAAAAUCGGAUUGCCGGUUAAUUAUAUAAAAAUGCUUUAUUUUUGUUAAUUUGAUUACUCGGUCGUUACAACGCGGGGGGGGAUUCGCGAGAUCUUGGAAGGAGGGAAGGAGGGAAUGAAGGGAAAAAAACGGGAUAUUGAAGGCAAAAAAAUCAGGAAGAAAAAAACGGGACAUGGGGGACAAAAAAACUGUCUUAUACUGAGGGCGCAAGUUUUGACUGAAUACACCGUCAAACUGUAACCACCGCGCGAUAAUACUAAAGUAACGUCUGAAUGUCGCCAGCGCGUGCAUCUUUUAAAAGACAGCGUUGAAGUGUAUCUUACUGAAUAUUACAGAUUAAAGCUGCAUGUUUUAGUUUUAAAGAAGUAGUUCACCAAACAUUUUUCAUAUGACUUCCAUGAUGAUUAGAUUUUUUCAAUAGUUAAUACCAAUAAUAUUGUUCAUUGUUAAAGUUGUGGAUUAAUUCAUUUUAUUGGUAAUAUUUAAUGCUAAAUGAGCAUGUGAACUUCAUUGCAAGUUACUUUGCCUUUACCUUAAGUAAUUCAUUUAUUUUUUUCUUUUUAGGUUUCCUGUUGAUUGCCUUCUGCCAUGCAGUGGAAUUGAAAAAAGAAGAAAACCAAGGAAGAAUGCUUGAUGAAUUUCUGCAUCAAGUUGAUUUAAAGUCAUCUGAUGUAACUUGUGUGCGCACCGAAGUACUUCAUGGCCUUCCAAUCCUCCUGGGGGAUUAUUCUGUGGAAUUUUCACGACAUUCUUUGAUUCAGAUGUGAAUGUAGACCUGAGUGCAGUUGAUGUUGGCCUGCUCACAGUUUUACCAGAAGACAUGCCUGCCCAAACUCCACAUCACUCAGUGUCGACUCAUUAAAGGCAAUCAUUCUUGAGGGAAAAAUUGUGGUGGGUGAUGUCCCAAACUUGCCAUAUGCUGUGUUUUUCUGCAUGUUGCCUAUUUCGAAAAAAAGCUGUUUUUGCAGUUAUUUGAUGUCAAGUGGCAGUUAUUGAUUAGUCAAGGUCCCCAUGCUGUUUAGAUAGAAGUAUAUAUUUAUACUAUAUAUAUUUA
Molecule: long non-coding RNA, 1831 nt
Organism: Silurus meridionalis
Lineage: Eukaryota; Metazoa; Chordata; Actinopteri; Siluriformes; Siluridae
Exons: 4
Source: RefSeq, a predicted model, not a curated record